AUACUUACGUGGCAGGGGAGAUACCGUGAUCAAGAAGGCGGUUCACCCAGGGCGAGGCUCGGCCAUUGCACUCUGGCUGUGCUGACCCCUUCGAAUUCCCCAAAUGUGGGAGUCUUGACUGCAUAAUUUCUGGUAGUGGGGGACUGCGUUUGCGCUCUCUCCUG
Molecule: small nuclear RNA, 164 nt
Gene: U1
Rfam family: U1 spliceosomal RNA
About the family: U1 is a small nuclear RNA (snRNA) component of the spliceosome (involved in pre-mRNA splicing). Its 5' end forms complementary base pairs with the 5' splice junction, thus defining the 5' donor site of an intron. There are significant differences in sequence and secondary structure between metazoan and yeast U1 snRNAs, the latter being much longer (568 nucleotides as compared to 164 nucleotides in human).
Source: Ensembl